RNAcentral lists this ribosomal RNA (526 nucleotides) under uncultured bacterium. RNAcentral's name for it is "bacterial SSU rRNA". It matches the Rfam family "Bacterial small subunit ribosomal RNA", at positions 983 to 1509 of the family's 1533-position model. The record is from RNAcentral.
GACAUACUAAGAACUUUCCAGAGAUGGAUUGGUGCCUUCGGGAACUUAGAUACAGGUGCUGCAUGGCUGUCGUCAGCUCGUGUCGUGAGAUGUUGGUUAACGUCCGCAACGAGCGCAACCCUUUUCCUUAUUUGCCAGCGGGUCAUGCCGGGAACUUUAAGGAUACUGCCAGUGACAAACUGGAGGAAGGCGGGGACGACGUCAAGUCAUCAUGGCCCUUACGGCCAGGGCUACACACGUGCUACAAAGGUCGGUACAAAGGGUUGCUACCUCGCGAGAGGAUGCUAAUCUCAAAAAGCCGAUCGUAGUCCGGAUCGCAGUCUGCAACUCGACUGCGUGAAGUCGGAAUCGCUAGUAAUCGCGGAUCAGAAUGCCGCGGUGAAUACGUUCCCGGGCCUUGUACACACCGCCCGUCACACCAUGGGAGUUUGUUGCACCAGAAGUAGGUAGUCUAACCGCAAGGAGGACGCUUACCACGGUGUGGCCGAUGACUGGGGUGAAGUCGUAACAAGGUAGGCGUAGAUGA